GGUGGGGUGGCCGAGUGGCUAAUGGCAGCAGACUGUAAAUCUGCCGGGCACUGCCCUACGAAGGUUCGAAUCCUUCCCCCACCA
RNAcentral lists this transfer RNA (84 nucleotides) under Gemmatimonadales bacterium. Its description in RNAcentral is "tRNA-Tyr". It matches the Rfam family "tRNA". From Rfam's summary of the family: Transfer RNA (tRNA) molecules are approximately 80 nucleotides in length. Their secondary structure includes four short double-helical elements and three loops (D, anti-codon, and T loops). Further hydrogen bonds mediate the characteristic L-shaped molecular structure. tRNAs have two regions of fundamental functional importance: the anti-codon, which is responsible for specific mRNA codon recognition, and the 3' end, to which the tRNAs corresponding amino acid is attached (by aminoacyl-tRNA synthetases). tRNAs cope with the degeneracy of the genetic code in two manners: having more than one tRNA (with a specific anti-codon) for a particular amino acid; and 'wobble' base-pairing, i.e. permitting non-standard base-pairing at the 3rd anti-codon position. Lineage: Bacteria; Pseudomonadati; Gemmatimonadota; Gemmatimonadia; Gemmatimonadales. The record is from RNAcentral.